Molecule: ribosomal RNA, 497 nt
Filed under: uncultured bacterium
Lineage: Bacteria
Description: partial 16S ribosomal RNA
Rfam family: Bacterial small subunit ribosomal RNA
Source: RNAcentral
GAUGAACGCUGGCGGCGUGCCUAAUACAUGCAAGUCGAGCGAACAGACGAGGAGCUUGCUCCUCUGACGUUAGCGGCGGACGGGUGAGUAACACGUGGAUAACCUACCUAUAAGACUGGGAUAACUUCGGGAAACCGGAGCUAAUACCGGAUAAUAUAUUGAACCGCCUGGUUCAAUAGUGAAAGACGGUUUUGCUGUCACUUAUAGAUGGAUCCGCGCCGCCUUAGCUAGGUGGUAAGGUAACGGCUUACCAAGGCAACGAUGCGUAGCCGACCUGAGAGGGUGAUCGGCCACACUGGAACUGAGACACGGUCCAGACUCCUACGGGAGGCAGCAGUAGGGAAUCUUCCGCAAUGGGCGAAAGCCUGACGGAGCAACGCCGCGUGAGUGAUGAAGGUCUUCGGAUCGUAAAACUCUGUUAUUAGGGAAGAACAAAUGUGUAAGUAACUAUGCACGUCUUGACGGUACCUAAUCAGAAAGCCACGGCUAACUACGUG